RNAcentral lists this ribosomal RNA (1367 nucleotides) under metagenome. RNAcentral describes it as "bacterial LSU rRNA". It matches the Rfam family "Bacterial large subunit ribosomal RNA", at positions 1533 to 2925 of the family's 2925-position model. The record is from RNAcentral.
UAGGCAAAUCCGUUGUAUAAUCCGAAGACGUGAUGUGGAGCGAAUAAAGUAGUGAAGCGUGUGAGCCAUGUGCCGAGAAAAGCUGCUAUUGUGUAAUGCGUGCCCGUACCGUAAACCGACACAGGUGGAUGAGGAGAGAAUCCUAAGGCCGGCGGAAGAAGCAUUGUUAAGGAAUUCGGCAAAAUGACCCCGUAACUUCGGGAGAAGGGGUGCCUGCGAGAGCAGGCCGCAGAGAAUAGGCUCAAGCAACUGUUUAGCAAAAACACAGGUCUAUGCGAAACCGAAAGGUGAAGUAUAUGGGCUGACGCCUGCCCGGUGCUGGAAGGUUAAGAGGAGAGGUUAGCUUCGGCGAAGCUUUGAAUUUAAGCCCCAGUAAACGGCGGCCGUAACGAUAACGGUCCUAAGGUAGCGAAAUUCCUUGUCGGGUAAGUUCCGACCCGCACGAAAGGCGUAAUGAUUUGAGCACUGUCUCGACAAUGCAUCCGGUGAAAUUGAAGUACCAGUGAAGAUGCUGGUUACCCGCGCCAGGACGGAAAGACCCCAUGGAGCUUUACUCCAGUUUGAUACUGGGAUUCGGUACUGCAUGUACAGGAUAGGUGGGAGACGAAGAAGGAUGGACGCCAGUCUGUCCGGAGUCGCUGUUGGGAUACCACCCCUGUAGUACUGGGUUUCUAACCAGUUGCCAUGAACUGGCAAUGGGACAAUGUCAGGCGGGGAGUUUGACUGGGGCGGUCGCCUCCGAAAGGGUAUCGGAGGCGCUCAAAGGUUCCCUCAGAAUGGUUGGAAACCAUUUGAAGAGUGCAAAGGCAGAAGGGAGCUUGACUGCGACACCGACGGGUGGAGCAGGUACGAAAGUAGGACUUAGUGAUCCGGUGGUAUAAAGUGGGAUUGCCAUCGCUCAACGGAUAAAAGCUACCCUGGGAUAACAGGCUUAUCACUCCCAAGAGUUCACAUCGACGGAGUGGUUUGGCACCUCGAUGUCGGCUCAUCGCAUCCUGGGGCUGUAGCAGGUCCCAAGGGUUGGGCUGUUCGCCCAUUAAAGCGGUACGCGAGCUGGGUUCAGAACGUCGUGAGACAGUUCGGUCCCUAUCCGGCGCGGGCGGAGGAUAUUUGAGAGGAGCUGUCCUUAGUACGAGAGGACCGGGAUGGACGGACCACUGGUGUAUCUGUUGUCGACCAACGGCAUGGCAGAGUAGCCAAGUCUGGAAGGGAUAAACGCUGAAGGCAUCUAAGCGUGAAGCCCCCCUCAAGAUGAGAUAUCCCUCCUUCGGGAGUAAGACCCCUUGAAGACUACAAGGUAGAUAGGGCAGAGGUGGAAGCAUGGCAACAUGUGGAGCUGACUGUUACUAAUAGGUCGAGGGCUUAAC